Molecule: ribosomal RNA, 495 nt
Filed under: uncultured bacterium
Lineage: Bacteria
Description: partial 16S ribosomal RNA
Rfam family: Bacterial small subunit ribosomal RNA
Source: RNAcentral
GACGAACGCUGGCGGCGUGCCUAAUACAUGCAAGUAGAACGCUGAAGGAGGAGCUUGCUUCUCUGGAUGAGUUGCGAACGGGUGAGUAACGCGUAGGUAACCUGCCUGGUAGCGGGGGAUAACUAUUGGAAACGAUAGCUAAUACCGCAUAAUAGUAGAUGUUGCAUGACAUUUGCCUAAAAGGUGCAAUUGCAUCACUACCAGAUGGACCUGCGUUGUAUUAGCUAGUUGGUGGGGUAACGGCUCACCAAGGCGACGAUACAUAGCCGACCUGAGAGGGGGGUCGGCCACACUGGGACUGAGACACGGCCCCGACUCCUACGGGGAGCAGCAGUAGGGAAUCUUCGGCCAUGGACGGAAGUCUGACCGAGCAACGCCGCGUGAGUGAAGAAGGUUUUCGGAUCGUAAAGCUCUGUUGUAAGAGAAGAACGAGUGUGAGAGUGGAAAGUUCCCACUGUGACGGUAUCUUACCAGAAAGGGACGGCUAACUACGUG